RNAcentral lists this ribosomal RNA (979 nucleotides) under human gut metagenome. RNAcentral's name for it is "bacterial LSU rRNA". It matches the Rfam family "Bacterial large subunit ribosomal RNA", at positions 1945 to 2925 of the family's 2925-position model. The record is from RNAcentral.
ACGGUCCUAAGGUAGCGAAAUUCCUUGUCAGGUAAGUUCUGACCCGCACGAAAGGUGUAAUGAUCUGGGCACUGUCUCAACCAUAGACUCGGUGAAAUCUUAAUACCUGUGAAAAUGCAGGUUACCCGCAACAGGACGGAAAGACCCCAUGGAGCUUUACUGUAGCUUGAUAUUGAAGUUCGGUAUAUUAUGUAGAGAAUAGGUGGGAGACUAUGAAGUUAGGACGCUAGUUCUAAUGGAGUCACCUUUGGAAUACCACCCUUAAUGUAUUGAAUUUCUAACCUCGAUCCAUUAUCUGGAUUAGGGACAGUGUCUGGUGGGCAGUUUGACUGGGGCGGUCGCCUCCCAAAAAGUAACGGAGGCGCCCAAAGGUUCCCUCAGAAUGGUUGGACAUCAUUCAAAGAGCGUAAAGGUAUAAGGGAGCUUGACUGCGAGACCAACAAGUCGAGCAGAUACGAAAGUAGGGCUUAGUGAUCAGACGAUUCAGAAUGGAAUGGUCGUCGCUUAACGGAUAAAAGUUACCCUGGGGAUAACAGGCUGAUACCACCCAAUAGUUCACAUAGACGGUGGUGUUUGGCACCUCGAUGUCGGCUCGUCGUAUCCUGGAGGUGAAGUCGCUUCCAAGGGUUGGGCUGUUCGCCCAUUAAAACGGCACGCGAGCUGGGUUCAGAACGUCGUGAGACAGUUCGGUCCCUAUCCGUUGUGGGCGUAGGAAAAUUGAAGAGAGCUAUCCUUAGUACGAGAGGACCGGGAUGGACAUACCUCUGGUGUAUCUGUUGUAGCGCCAGCUGCAGUGCAGAGUAGCUAUGUAUGGAAAGGAUAACCGCUGAAAGCAUCUAAGCGGGAAGCCUCCUUUGAGAUGAGUUUUCCCAUAUUUUAUAUAGUAAGAUCCCUUGAAGACUACAAGGUUGAUAGGCUGGAGAUGGAAGAAUGGCGACAUUUUGAGUUGACCAGUACUAAUAGAUCGAGGAUUUAAUCC